RNAcentral lists this long non-coding RNA (1505 nucleotides) under Apteryx owenii (little spotted kiwi). RNAcentral's name for it is "lncRNA (ENSAOWG00000017433.1)". Lineage: Eukaryota; Metazoa; Chordata; Aves; Apterygiformes; Apterygidae. The record is from RNAcentral.
AGCCGCACACCUGGUAUAGUGCGUGGGUUGCAGGCUGCAGCAAUGAGCCAGAGCCGGAAUUUGGCAUGAAUUGCAUAGUCCUCUUCGGUGCUUGAUAGCUGUGAUAUGGUGUCCUUGUCUGCAAAGAGGAGAACGAUGGUCUGCAGCAGAGUGGGGAAACGGCUUCUGGUGGGAUGGCCUGGGAGCACAGGAACGGCUGGGCUGCUGUAGGCCUUGGCAUCAUGCUGCUCAAUGUGCAGGAUGUCCUGUAGCAGCAGGGCUUCGAAAGCUUCCUGGCUGAGGCUCAGGUCUAUUAUCUUUAGAUGCUUGAGCACAGCGUGAUCGAUUUCUACAAGAAAGCAGGGCAGGUGAGCUGGGCGCGUGGCUGCUGUCUACCAGGGCCCUGUCUAUAAGGUGCAGGCGUAUAGGGCUCUGCAAUGGGACUACCUCCUCAAACAGUGUGGCGUCUCGUCUCCCUUUUCUAUCCUCAAAGCCAGCUGGCAUGUGACCUUCUACCAGGAGAACAGCCCUUUGAGAUGGUCCAGAAGGAAGAUUUCAAACUCAACAGCAAUGUCCUUUUCAAAGAGCUGAAUUUCAGUUAUCAUCUGAGUGGCUGGACCAGAAAGUUUCCCAUCUUGCUGGAGAAAUCCAUUUGCUGCCCAUCUCUUUAUGCUCAAGUGGCAGCCUACGGGUGCGUGCGCUGUCUCAUCCUCCGUGCAAACGAUGAUAACUGUAGGACUGCUUCACCCAGCAUUGCUCCAUGUCUCUGCAGUAGUAGCUACCGGUGAGGUAUGACCAGAGCCAAGGAUGGCCACCCGGCUGCUGGCAAACAUGGGGAGCAAGCUUACCUGGACCUUCUCUUGUUUCAGGUGUGUCUGUAUAGACAGUCAUCUGCAUCUUUAGGCAAAGCCACUGGCCGGCAUUACUGAAACGGCUUGUUGGCUGAGCUGGAAACAUGAGAAUACAGCAAUCCUAGCUAAGCAUAGCCAGGGCUUUGUCUGGGUCACUCUGCCGGUGGUAAAAGAGAGUGUGGACNNNNNNNNNNNNNNNNNNNNNNNNNNNNNNNNNNNNNNNNNAUGAUGAUGAUGAUGAUGAUGCCUGUGCAGGUCCAGCUUUGAGCCCCGUGCAAGAACGACCAAGGCCAGAGCUAUGAAAAGGCUGUGUCUCAUUUUCCUCGGAGGAGAUAGGCUGUCCAGUGAAGGAGGCUAACAGUGUGGCAGGGACUGAAGAAAAUCCACCACAAGAAUCUCUCUCUGACUUUUGCAGAUGAUGAUACAAAACUGGGAGGAGUGGCUGGUACCCCAAAGGGCUGUGUUGCCAUUCAGAGGGACCUCGACAGRAUGGCGAGAUGGGCAGAGGACCAUUAUGAAGUUCAGCAAAGGGAAGUGCAGAGUCCUGCCCCUGGGGAGGAAUAACCCCAUGCACCAGGACAGGUUGGGGGCCGACAGGCGGGAAAGCAGCUCUGCAAAGAAGGCUCGGGGGGGGGGGGUGUCCUGCUGGACAACACCUUGACCAUGAGCCACCAG